UCCACGCCAUAAACAAUGUCAACUAGCCGUUGGGGGUCUUAGUACCUUUAGUGGCGCAGCUAACGCAUUAAGUUGACCGCCUGGGGAGUACGGUCGCAAGACUAAAACUCAAAGGAAUUGACGGGGGCCCGCACAAGCGGUGGAGCAUGUGGUUUAAUUCGAUGCAACGCGAAGAACCUUACCAGCUCUUGACAUCCUGCGAACUUUCUAGAGAUAGAUUGGUGCCCUUUCGG
RNAcentral lists this ribosomal RNA (233 nucleotides) under uncultured bacterium. Its description in RNAcentral is "partial 16S ribosomal RNA". It matches the Rfam family "Bacterial small subunit ribosomal RNA", at positions 794 to 1024 of the family's 1533-position model. The record is from RNAcentral.